Molecule: long non-coding RNA, 290 nt
Organism: Talpa occidentalis (Iberian mole)
Lineage: Eukaryota; Metazoa; Chordata; Mammalia; Eulipotyphla; Talpidae
Exons: 3
Source: RefSeq, a predicted model, not a curated record
UGAGUAGGGGAUCAAGCUUUACAUUAAGAGCCUUCCCUGGAAAUGUGGGCUAAAGGAUGCAGAGGUUGAAAAUGGAAAAAGCUUCUUUAUUUGCCUUAGUUUGCUGAUGAUCCAGACAGAUGUUUGCCUAGAUGGUCCUGACUUCCCAGUUGGUCUUCUCCACCUGCAUCUGGGUUGCAUUGACACCAAAUAUUUCUGCUGAUGCUGAAAUCUUGAAGCCCCACCGGAAGUGUUCCUCUUCAUUGAAACAAACCUGAUGUCUGCCUUCAACGUCCCCAUUUCCAUCAAUG